UACGGGGGGGGCAAGCGUUGUUCGGAAUUACUGGGCGUAAAGGGCUCGUAGGCGGCCAACUAAGUCAGACGUGAAAUCCCCAGGCUCAACCUGGGAACUGCGUCUGAUACUGGAUGGCUUGAAUUCGGGAGAGGGAUGCAGAAUUCCAGGUGUAGCGGUGAAAUGCGUAGAUAUCUGGAGGAAUACCGGUGGCGAAGGCGGCAUCCUGGACCGACAUUGACGCUGAGGAGCGAAAGCUAGGGGAGCAAACGGG
RNAcentral lists this ribosomal RNA (253 nucleotides) under uncultured bacterium. RNAcentral's name for it is "partial 16S ribosomal RNA". It matches the Rfam family "Bacterial small subunit ribosomal RNA", at positions 524 to 776 of the family's 1533-position model. The record is from RNAcentral.